This 247-nucleotide ribosomal RNA is filed under the name uncultured bacterium. Its description in RNAcentral is "partial 16S ribosomal RNA". It matches the Rfam family "Bacterial small subunit ribosomal RNA", at positions 523 to 769 of the family's 1533-position model. The record is from RNAcentral.
AUACGGAGGGUGCAAGCGUUAAUCGGAAUCACUGGGCGUAAAGCGCACGUAGGCUGUUUGGUAAGUCAGGGGUGAAAUCCCGCAGCUCAACUGCGGAAUUGCCCUUGAUACUGCUGGACUCGAGUUCGGGAGAGGGUGGCGGAAUUCCAGGUGUAGGAGUGAAGUCCGUAGAUAUCUGGAGGAACAUCAGUGGCGAAGGCGGCCACCUGGACCGAUACUGACGCUGAGGUGCGAAAGCGUGGGGAGC